Molecule: unclassified non-coding RNA, 395 nt
Filed under: soil metagenome
Description: partial contains 5.8S ribosomal RNA, internal transcribed spacer 2, and large subunit ribosomal RNA
Rfam family: 5.8S ribosomal RNA (bases 1-121)
Source: RNAcentral
GAUGAAGAACGUAGCGAACGUGCGAAACGUAAUGUGAAUUGCAGAAUUCAGUGAAUCAUCGAAUCUUUGAACGCAUCUUGCGCUCCUUGGUAUUCCGAGGAGCAUGCCUGUUUGAGUGUCGUGAAUACUCUCAACUUCAACCCUUUUUUCGGAAAGGGAGGAAGGUUGGACUUGGGUGUUUGUUGAAGUGCGAGCUUCGACUCAUCCUAAAUGCAUUAGCGAUCUGCCUCGAUCACACACAAUGUGAUAAUUAAAACUAAAGCAUUGUUUAAUGAUCAAGUCGAGACUGCUUCUAACUGUCGCAAGACAAUAACGUGCAUACAUUUGUGCAUGUCAUUUGACCUCAAAUCAGGUAGGACUACCCGCUGAACUUAAGCACAUCAAUAAGCGGAGGA